GCGAAGCAUAGGAGGGAAAUCAAAUGUUUGAACGCUAGCAUAUAAGUUUAGUGUUUUUCUGACUAUUUGGAUUGGCUACAACAUACUGGAUCUGAAAUUAUAUUUGCUAAAUGAAAAAUAGCACCUUAAUAUUGUUGUUUGCUAUAGAUCAAAGGGAGAGAUGGGGGGAAGAACAGUUUGCUUAAUGUAGGCCUAGGCCUAUUUUGAUAUCAUCAUCAAACGUUUUUUAUCCAUUUUCUCAUUUACUGAUAUCAAGACAGUAGGCUAUGUUAUAGUUUCAAUCUCUGAAAAACAAAGUAGACCUAGGCUAGUCUAACAUUGCCUGGCAAUGUAAAAGCUCCACAGUGAUAAAAAAAAUGUUUGAUGUGAAGAAAUCUGGAUUUAGGGUUUGCCAGGGAGACAGAAGGCUGGAUCAGAUAAGGGAAAGUCAAGGAAAGAUUAAGUAAAACUAAAAGUAGAUUAAAGGCCAUGACUUGUGGCAUGUGUGUGUUUGAAUAACUCUCGCUCUCUCUCUCUCUCUCUCUCUCCCCAGUGCCAUUCCUAAAAACUACAGGAGCGGAGAUUCAGGCGCGCAGAUGGGGAAGAGAUGAUUGGGACCUCCACUCUCACCCAGUGGCAUGUAACCAAGAGGCUUUCAUGCAGAAUGAUUCGAUUUGAUGAAGAUGAAAUAGGGAGCAAAAAUGUACCAGUAACGCCACCUGAUGGAGGUUUGGGGAACUUGCAGUGUGUUCACCUGGCUAAAAAGGCUGAGUAAAAUACAUUCACACACACACAGCUUCACACAUCACAUCUGGAUUUUUUUAUUUUUGUAUUUUAAGUUUUAUUAAAUCAUUUUGUUACAUAAA
Molecule: long non-coding RNA, 845 nt
Organism: Alosa sapidissima (American shad)
Lineage: Eukaryota; Metazoa; Chordata; Actinopteri; Clupeiformes; Clupeidae
Exons: 2
Source: RefSeq, a predicted model, not a curated record